This 256-nucleotide long non-coding RNA is filed under the name Elaeis guineensis (African oil palm). RNAcentral describes it as "long non-coding RNA (EGUI_LNC034926)". Lineage: Eukaryota; Viridiplantae; Streptophyta; Magnoliopsida; Arecales; Arecaceae. The record is from RNAcentral.
UCCUUUCAAGUCAUAAUUUCAACAUUAGCAAGUGUCAGUAUCCUACAACUCUAAAAAAUAAAAGAGAAAGAAGAGGGGUGGUGAGCUUUACACACUACUAUAAUAAGAGUUUAUGACAGCAUUUACUAUUACAGCGGUUUGAAAAUCACUGCCAUAAGUUUGAGCUAUUGCAGUGGAUAUCGAUAACCACUGUCAUAUGUUACAUAUAGCAGUGGUUACACAUAACCGCUGCUAUACGUUAAAGAUAUAACAGUGG